UCCGGCUUAUCACCGGCAGUUUUCCUAGAGUUCUCAGCCUAACCUGUUAGCAACAAGGAAUGAGGGUUGCGCUCGUUGCGGGACUUAACCCAACAUCUCACGACACGAGCUGACGACAGCCAUGCAGCACCUGUGCAUCUCCCACCCGAAGUGAAGGCUUCCUUUUCGGGAAGCCAUAGAGAGCAUGUCAAGGCCUGGUAAGGUUCUUCGCGUUGCCUCGAAUUAAACCACAUGUUCCACCGCUUGUGCGGGUCCCCGUCAAUUUCUUUGAGUUUUAAUCUUGCGACCGUACUCCCCAGGCGGGGUGCUUAACGCGUUAGCUACGCCACCGAGACCUAAGGCCCCAACGGCUAGCACCCAUCGUUUACAGCGUGGACUAC
Molecule: unclassified non-coding RNA, 380 nt
Filed under: uncultured Rickettsiales bacterium
Lineage: Bacteria; Pseudomonadati; Pseudomonadota; Alphaproteobacteria; Rickettsiales
Description: contains 16S-23S intergenic spacer region
Source: RNAcentral